GAUGAAGAACGCAGCGAAAUGCGAUAAGUAAUGUGAAUCGCAGAAUUCAGUGAAUCAUCGAAUCUUUGAACGCACAUUGCGCCCCUUGGUAUUCCGAGGGGCAUGCCUGUUCGAGCGUCAUUAUAACCCCUCAAGCUCAGCUUGGUGUUGGGGCCUGCUGCACUGGCAGCCCUUAAAAUCAGUGGCGGCGCCAUCUGGCUCUAAGCGUAGUAAUUCUUCUCGCUAUGGAGUCCUGGUGGAUGCUUGCCAUCAACCCCCAAUUUUUCUAUGGUUGACCUCGGAUCAGGUAGGGAUACCCGCUGAACUUAAGCAUAUCAAUAAGCGGAGGA
This 329-nucleotide unclassified non-coding RNA is filed under the name soil metagenome. RNAcentral describes it as "partial contains 5.8S ribosomal RNA, internal transcribed spacer 2, and large subunit ribosomal RNA". The stretch from base 1 to 120 matches the Rfam family "5.8S ribosomal RNA", at positions 35 to 154 of the family's 154-position model. The record is from RNAcentral.